RNAcentral lists this transfer RNA (20 nucleotides) under Epimedium qingchengshanense. RNAcentral describes it as "partial tRNA-Phe". Lineage: Eukaryota; Viridiplantae; Streptophyta; Magnoliopsida; Ranunculales; Berberidaceae. The record is from RNAcentral.
GAUAUCUCUACUUGGGUAGA